AGCAGUCGCCGCGGUAAUACGAGGGGGGCAAGCGUUGUUCGGAAUUAUUGGGCGUAAAGGGCGCGUAGGCGGUUUGGCAAGUUUGGUGUGAAAUCUUCGGGCUCAACUCGAAGUCUGCACCGAAAACUGCCGGGCUUGAGUAUGGGAGAGGUGAGUGGAAUUUCCGGUGUAGCGGUGAAAUGCGUAGAUAUCGGAAGGAACACCUGUGGCGAAAGCGGCUCACUGGACCAUUACUGACGCUGAGGCGCGAAAGCUAGGGGAGCAAACAGGAUUAGAUACCCCAGUAGUCCCUGUCUCUUAUAA
This 303-nucleotide ribosomal RNA is filed under the name uncultured bacterium. RNAcentral describes it as "partial 16S ribosomal RNA". It matches the Rfam family "Bacterial small subunit ribosomal RNA", at positions 507 to 809 of the family's 1533-position model. The record is from RNAcentral.